This 393-nucleotide ribosomal RNA is filed under the name uncultured bacterium. RNAcentral's name for it is "partial 16S ribosomal RNA". It matches the Rfam family "Bacterial small subunit ribosomal RNA", at positions 523 to 918 of the family's 1533-position model. The record is from RNAcentral.
AUACGGAGGAUCCGAGCGUUAUCCGGAUUUAUUGGGUUUAAAGGGAGCGUAGGUGGACAGUUAAGUCAGUUGUGAAAGUUUGCGGCUCAACCGUAAAAUUGCAGUUGAUACUGGCUGUCUUGAGUACAGUAGAGGUGGGAGGAAUUGGUGGUGUAGCGGUGAAAUGCUUAGAUAUCACGAAGAACUCCGAUUGCGAAGGCAGCUCACUGGACUGCAACUGACACUGAUGCUCGAAAGUGUGGGUAUCAAACAGGAUUAGAUACCCUGGUAGUCCACAAAGUAAACGAUGAAUACUCGCUGUUUGCGAUAUACAGUAAGCGGCCAAGCGAAAGCAUUAAGUAUUCCACCUGGGGAGUACGCCGGCAACGGUGAAACUCAAAUGAAUUGACGGGG